GCUGAUGUGUCAACACAAAGCACCCCAUCGGACCUGGGCGCCGGAUCUGAAAUAUCUUGAUCGAUACGCCGACCGCGACAUCCCUGAACCGCCAACUCUUUUUGAUGAUUGGAAAAAUCGCAGCAACACGUUGGCUGGCAACGCGAUGUCGAUCGAUCGCCACUUCUACUAUCACUACGACCUGAAAGUCCACCAAGACGUCCCGUUCGCGUCGGAUCGAGAAAAGCGAUUGCAGGACGGCGAAUAUCGUCGCAUGACAGCCGAGCAAAAACAGGU
RNAcentral lists this ribosomal RNA (276 nucleotides) under uncultured eukaryote. Its description in RNAcentral is "partial small subunit ribosomal RNA". The record is from RNAcentral.